Molecule: non-coding RNA, 58 nt
Organism: Streptococcus suis 05ZYH33
Lineage: Bacteria; Bacillati; Bacillota; Bacilli; Lactobacillales; Streptococcaceae
Source: Rfam
AUUUGUCGUGUGUCUUGUUUGAAAUAUUGUCCAAACAAGGCUUGCAGCAGUUAAAUCA